GCUGGGUGCAAUGGCUCACGCCUGUAAUCCCUGCCCUUUGGGAGGCUGAGGCGGGUGGAUCACCUGAGGUCAGGAGUUCGAGACCAGCCUGACCAACAUGGUGAAACCCCGUCUCUA
This 117-nucleotide non-coding RNA is filed under the name Homo sapiens (human). The record is from Rfam by way of RNAcentral. Lineage: Eukaryota; Metazoa; Chordata; Mammalia; Primates; Hominidae.